GACGAACGCUGGCGGCGUGCUUAACACAUGCAAGUCGAACGGAAAGGCCCUGCUUUUGUGGGGUGCUCGAGUGGCGAACGGGUGAGUAACACGUGAGUAACCUGCCCUUGACUUUGGGAUAACUUCAGGAAACUGGGGCUAAUACCGGAUAGGAGCUCCUGCUGCAUGGAGGGGGUUGGAAAGUUUCGGCGGUUGGGGAUGGACUCGCGGCUUAUCAGCUUGUUGGUGGGGUAGUGGCUUACCAAGGCUUUGACGGGUAGCCGGCCUGAGAGGGUGACCGGCCACAUUGGGACUGAGAUACGGCCCAGACUCCUACGGGAGGCAGCAGUGGGGAAUAUUGCACAAUGGGCGGAAGCCUGAUGCAGCAACGCCGCGUGCGGGAUGACGGCCUUCGGGUUGUAAACCGCUUUCGCCUGUGACGAAGCGUGAGCGACGGUAAUGGGUAAAGAAGCACCGGCUAACUACGUG
Molecule: ribosomal RNA, 468 nt
Filed under: uncultured bacterium
Lineage: Bacteria
Description: partial 16S ribosomal RNA
Rfam family: Bacterial small subunit ribosomal RNA
Source: RNAcentral